GAUGAACGCUAGCGGCAGGCCUAACACAUGCAAGUCGGGGGGUAACAGAAAAGCUUGCUUUUGCUGACGACCGGCGCACGGGUGCGUAACGCGUAUGCAACCUACCUCAUACUGGAGGAUAGCCCCUGGAAACGGGGAUUAAUACUCCAUAGUAUCACAAUUUCGCAUGUUAUUGUGAUUAAAGUUUUUCGGUAUGAGGUGGGCAUGCGUCCCAUUAGCUUGUUGGUGAGGUAACGGCUCACCAAGGCAACGAUGGGUAGGGGGCCUGAGAGGGUGGUCCCCCACACUGGUACUGAGACACGGACCAGACUCCUACGGGAGGCAGCAGUGAGGAAUAUUGGUCAAUGGAGGAAACUCUGAACCAGCCAUGCCGCGUGAAGGAUGACGGCCCUAUGGGUUGUAAACUUCUUUUAUAGAGGAAGAAACUUGUCUACGUGUAGACGAACUGACGGUACUCUACGAAUAAGGAAUCGGCUAACUCCGUGCCGCG
This 490-nucleotide ribosomal RNA is filed under the name uncultured bacterium. Its description in RNAcentral is "bacterial SSU rRNA". It matches the Rfam family "Bacterial small subunit ribosomal RNA", at positions 28 to 512 of the family's 1533-position model. The record is from RNAcentral.